CAUAUGAAUAAUUUUGGAGAAUAUAAUUUACAGAGUAUUCUGCAAGGGUAUAUCAACUUCGGCUCCGCCCGAAGUUAGCUUUCCUUUCUUGUUUGGUGUUAUAUCGUAAGAAAUGGCUUUCAAAUUAGUACAAAAUUAGGUAGGAACUUUUAUCUAUUAAAUGUGCUAUCUCCACUGGAUAAAAUAUAUUCAAAUUUCCAAAGUCAAAAAAAGGUGUUGUAUUAAAAACUUAAUAAGGUAGGGUUUCUUAAUAAGAUUUGCCCAAUCAAGAUCGAAAACUUCUCAAUAGCUGAAAUUGUUACCAAUUUGACAGGUAGGACUUUUAAAACAUAUGGUAAUCACUCGUGACUAUUUGGGGUUAUUUCGUAGAAAAUUAUUAACGAAUUAGAGAAAAAUUAGGUAGGAACUUAAAUCGGUCGAACUGACUAUCUCCACUUCAUAAAUAUUUGCAAAAUUAAAAAAUCAAAAUAAGUGCUGUGUUAAAAAAUGAAUAAGGUAGGGUGUCUUUAUAAGGUUUGCCCAUGCAAGAUCGUACACUUUUUAAUAUCUGAAAUAUUUAGAAAAUCGCAAGGUAGGGCUUUUAAAACAUAUGGUAAUCCCUCGUGAUUUUUUGUUGUUAUAUCGUAAGAAAUGGCUUUCAAAUUAGUACAAAAUUAGGUAGGAACUUUUAUCUAUUAAAUGUGCUAUCUCCACUGGAUAAAAUAUAUUCAAAUUUCCAAAGUCAAAAAAAGGUGUUGUAUUAAAAACUUAAUAAGGUAGGGUUUCUUAAUAAGAUUUGCCCAAUCAAGAUCGUAAACUUCUCAAUAGCUGAAAUUGUUACCAAUUCGACAGGUAGGACUUUUAAAACAUAUGGUAAUCACUCGUGACUAUUUGGGGUUAUUUCGUAAAAAAUUAUUAACGAAUUAGAGAAAAAUUAGGUAGGAACUUAAAUCGGUCGAACUGACUAUCUCCACUUCAUAAAUAUUUGCAAAAUUAAAAAAUCAAAAUAAGUGCUGUGUUAAAAAAUGAAUAAGGUAGGGUGUCUUUAUAAGGUUUGCCCAUGCAAGAUCGUACACUUUUUAAUAUCUGAAAUAUUUAGAAAAUCGCAAGGUAGGGCUUUUAAAACAUAUGGUAAUCCCUCGUGAUUUUUUGGUGUUAUAUCGUAAGAAAUGGCUUUCAAAUUAGUACAAAAUUAAGUAAGAACUUUUAUCUAUUAAAUGUGCUAUCUCUACUGGAUAAAAUAUAUUCAAAUUUCCAAAGUCAAAAAAAGGUGUGGUAUUAAAAACUUAAUAAGGUAGGGUUUCUCAAUAAGAUUUGCCCAAUCAAGAUCGUAAACUUCUCAAUAGCUGAAAUUGUUACCAAUCCGACAGGUAGGACUUUUAAAACAUAUGGUUAUCACUCGUGACUAUUUGGGGUUAUAUCGUAAAAAAUUAUUAACGAAUUAGAGAAAAAUUAGGUAGGAACUUAAAUCGGUCGAACUGACUAUCUCCACUUCAUAAAUAUUUGAUAAAUUAAAAAAUCAAAAUAAGUGCUGUAUUAAAAACUGAAUAAGGUAGGGUGUCUUUAUAAGGUUUGCCCAUGCAAGAUCGUACACUUUUUAAUAUCUGAAAUAUUUAGAAAAUCGCAAGGUAGGGCUUUUAAAACAUAUGGUAAUCCCUCGUGAUUUUUUGUUGUUAUAUCGUAAGAAAUGGCUUUCAAAUUAGUAUAAAAUUAGGUAGGAACUUUUAUCUAUUAAAUGUGCUAUCUCUACUGGAUAAAAUAUAUUCAAAUUUCCAAAGUCAAAAAAAGGUGUGGUAUUAAAAACUUAAUAAGGUAGGGUUUCUCAAUAAGAUUUGCCCAAUCAAGAUCGUAAACUUCUCAAUAGCUGAAAUUGUUACCAAUUCGACAGGUAGGACUUUUAAAACAUAUGGUAAUCACUCGUGACUAUUUGGGGUUA
Molecule: long non-coding RNA, 1915 nt
Organism: Drosophila rhopaloa
Lineage: Eukaryota; Metazoa; Arthropoda; Insecta; Diptera; Drosophilidae
Exons: 3
Source: RefSeq, a predicted model, not a curated record